UCAGUGCUGCAGUUAACGCAAUAAGUACUCCGCCUGAGUAGUACGUUCGCAAGAAUGAAACUCAAAGGAAUUGACGGGGGCCCGCACAAGCGGUGGAGCAUGUGGUUUAAUUCGAAGCAACGCGAAGAACCUUACCAGGUCUUGACAUACCUCUAAAGGCUCUAGAGAUAGAGAGAUAGCUAUAGGGGAUACAGGUGGUGCAUGGUUGUCGUCAGCUCGUGUCGUGAGAUGUUGGGUUAAGUCCCGCAACGAGCGCAACCCUUGUCGCUAGUUACCACCAUUAAGUUGGGGACUCUAGCGAGACUGCCUCUGCAAGGAGGAGGAAGGCGGGGAUGACGUCAAAUCAUCAUGCCCCUUAUGACCUGGGCUACACACGUGCUACAAUGGACGGAUCAAAGGGAAGCGAAGCCGCGAGGUGGAGCGAAACCCAAAAACCCGUUCUCAGUUCGGACUGCAGUCCGCAACUCGACUGCACGAAGUUGGAAUCGCUAGUAAUCGCGAAUCAGAAUGUCGCGGUGAAUACGUUCUCGGGCCUUGUACACACCGCCCGUCACGCCAUGAGAGUUGGUAACACCCGAAGCCGGUGGCUUAACCGCAAGGAGAGAGCUGUCUAAGGUGGGACUGAUGAUUAGGGUGAAGUCGUAACAAGGUAUCCCUACGGGAACGUGCGGCUGGAUCACCUC
RNAcentral lists this ribosomal RNA (683 nucleotides) under uncultured bacterium. RNAcentral's name for it is "bacterial SSU rRNA". It matches the Rfam family "Bacterial small subunit ribosomal RNA", at positions 840 to 1529 of the family's 1533-position model. The record is from RNAcentral.